AAUAUGCAGGAUUUACAGUUAUUGUUGUCAGAAACUUCCAGAAGAAUCAACAAAGUGAAGUGGAAAGAAGCACAUCAGGGAGGUCCGGCCUCGGGGUUUGGCCCCUGGUCUUCCAUCUGCUUGGAAUCUGCUUUGGACACGUAUCCGCCCGGCUUGUUGGAACCCCAGAGGAGUGGGAACCAGACUUCUCCCACCCCAGGAAGACAGUGCUGGUUCAAAAUCCUUCAUUGGCCAAAAGGACAGUUUUACGCACAAGAAAAUGCAGGAGAACAGAAACAGGAAUCAUUGGCACGAACCCAAAGAAACUCUCCCAUUCGGUGUUACUUCCGACUUCGUGGGGCGUCCUGUGAUGUGUGGAUGAAAUGCUCUGUGUUGAAGUUCUCUGUGUAUUGCUUGAUACAAAAUAGCAACUCAGUAAAGACUCAUGUCAACAAAAUUUGA
This 441-nucleotide long non-coding RNA is filed under the name Equus caballus (horse). RNAcentral's name for it is "lncRNA (ENSECAG00000041194.2)". The record is from RNAcentral. Lineage: Eukaryota; Metazoa; Chordata; Mammalia; Perissodactyla; Equidae.